CUGGCAAUUCCCAGACAUACUACAGAGUGCACUACUUUUGACAAGAACCCUAUGGGUCCUAGUACACUAUAUAGGGAAUAGUGCCCUGUACACCACUGUGAACACAACAGUGAGGGUAGUGGUUUAGUAUAGGCCCCAGCAGGGUACAGGGUAGUGGUUUAGUAUAGGCCACAGCAGGGUACAGGGUAGUGGUUUAGUAUAGGCCCCAGCAGGGUACAAGGUAGUGGUUUAGUAUAGGCCCCAGCAGGGUACAGAGUGGUGGUUUAGUAUAGGCCACAGCAGGGUACAGAGUAGUGGUUUAGUAUAGGCCACAACAGGGUAGUGGUUUAGUAUAGGCCCCAGCAGGGUACAGGGUAGUGGUUUAGUAUAGGCCCCAGCAGGGUACA
Oncorhynchus tshawytscha (Chinook salmon) is the source of this 386-nucleotide long non-coding RNA. NCBI's taxonomy places the organism in Eukaryota, Metazoa, Chordata, Actinopteri, Salmoniformes, Salmonidae. The record is from Ensembl.